UACGGGGGGAGCAAACGUUGUUCGGAAUUACUGGGCGUAAAGGGCGCGUAGGCGGUCCUGUAAGUGGUGUGUGAAAUCCGAUGGCUCAACCAUCGAGCUGCGCUCCAUACUGCAGGACUUGAGUACAGCAGAGGAAAGUGGAAUUCCCGGUGUAGCGGUGAAAUGCGUAGAUAUCAGGAGGAACACCGAUGGCGAAGGCAGCUCGCUGGGACGGUACUGACGCUGAGGCGCGAAAGCGUGGGGAGCAAACAGG
This 253-nucleotide ribosomal RNA is filed under the name uncultured bacterium. Its description in RNAcentral is "partial 16S ribosomal RNA". It matches the Rfam family "Bacterial small subunit ribosomal RNA", at positions 524 to 776 of the family's 1533-position model. The record is from RNAcentral.